UACGUAGGGUGCAAGCGUUGUCCGGAAUUAUUGGGCGUAAAGAGCUUGUAGGCGGUUUGUCGCGUCUGCUGUGAAAUUUCGGGGCUCAACCCCGAACUUGCAGUGGGUACGGGCAGACUAGAGUGUGGUAGGGGAGACUGGAAUUCCUGGUGUAGCGGUGAAAUGCGCAGAUAUCAGGAGGAACACCGAUGGCGAAGGCAGCUUGCUGGGACGGUACUGACGCUGAGACGCGAAAGCGUGGGGAGCAAACAGG
This 253-nucleotide ribosomal RNA is filed under the name uncultured bacterium. RNAcentral describes it as "partial 16S ribosomal RNA". It matches the Rfam family "Bacterial small subunit ribosomal RNA", at positions 524 to 776 of the family's 1533-position model. The record is from RNAcentral.